AGUGAACGCUGGCGGUAGGCCUAACACAUGCAAGUCGAACGGCAGCACAGUAAGAGCUUGCACUUACGGGUGGCGAGUGGCGGACGGGUGAGGAAUACAUCGGAAUCUACUUUUUCGUGGGGGAUAACGUAGGGAAACUUACGCUAAUACCGCAUACGACCUACGGGUGAAAGCAGGGGAUCUUCGGACCUUGCGCGAUUGAAUGAGCCGAUGUCGGAUUAGCUAGUUGGCGGGGUAAAGGCCCACCAAGGCGACGAUCCGUAGCUGGUCUGAGAGGAUGAUCCGCCACACUGGAACUGAGACACGGUCCAGACUCCUACGGGAGGCAGCAGUGGGGAAUAUUGGACAAUGGGCGCAAGCCUGAUCCAGCCAUACCGCGUGGGUGAAGAAGGCCUUCGGGUUGUAAAGCCCUUUUGUUGGGAAAGAAAAGCAGCAGGUUAAUACCCCGCUGUUCUGACGGUACCCAAAGAAUAAGCACCGGCUAACUUCGUG
RNAcentral lists this ribosomal RNA (492 nucleotides) under uncultured bacterium. Its description in RNAcentral is "partial 16S ribosomal RNA". It matches the Rfam family "Bacterial small subunit ribosomal RNA", at positions 29 to 507 of the family's 1533-position model. The record is from RNAcentral.